Small RNA from Flavobacterium sp. FPG59, 83 nucleotides. It matches the Rfam family "Flavo-1 RNA". Lineage: Bacteria; Pseudomonadati; Bacteroidota; Flavobacteriia; Flavobacteriales; Flavobacteriaceae. The record is from Rfam.
CCCUAGCCCAGAUAGCAGCGAAAAUCCUUGUAUUUUUUUCUUUUUGAAAAAAUACAAGAUUGUAGCGAAUAGCUGGAAAAAGC